UUGGGGUAGAUGAGUCUCUGGUCUACAGUGUAGAGGUACUAGACGAUGAGUGUGGAUAGUUAUUAGAGAAUAACUAGUACUGAAUGUGAUCAUGUGAGAGAUCAUUUAAAUUUUUAUUUGAUCGUCAGUGAUUAUCUCAAUGCUGUAGUUGUGUGAAUGGUCCUUUGACCUGUGAUGGUAUGAUUGCUCGUAAUGUAGAUGCUGGAGUUUGACU
This 214-nucleotide long non-coding RNA is filed under the name Elaeis guineensis (African oil palm). Its description in RNAcentral is "long non-coding RNA (EGUI_LNC050966)". Lineage: Eukaryota; Viridiplantae; Streptophyta; Magnoliopsida; Arecales; Arecaceae. The record is from RNAcentral.